Magnolia sinica is the source of this 453-nucleotide long non-coding RNA. RefSeq lists it as uncharacterized. The transcript is spliced from 3 exons. The record is from RefSeq and is a predicted model, not a curated record. NCBI's taxonomy places the organism in Eukaryota, Viridiplantae, Streptophyta, Magnoliopsida, Magnoliales, Magnoliaceae.
UUUUGUACUUCAUAUUAUGCUUUUACUGGUGCUAGAAUGGAUGACUUUGCUUCUCUUCAACUCAGCCUUGAUAGUUGUACCCAUCUCACUUGGGCGUGCUUUGUUCAGUGCCAUUCCUCGCUUCCCAAUAACCCACGGAAUAAAGUGUAAUGAUCUAUAUGCCUUCAAUAUUGGAUGCUACAUCAUCUAGACUACCAUAGUCAGGGCAGGUAUUCAAUUGAAUAUGUUAAAACUCGAAGAGUGGCGAAUCUGGCAGCCCAAAUCUGGAAGUGGUGUACAAUUGUUCUUAAGAGUUCUGUACUGUUGUCAAUAUGGAUAUUUAUCAUCCCGGUGCUGAUUGGUUUAUUGUUCGAGUUGUUGGUGAUUAUACCAAUGCGAGUGCCUGUGGAUGAAAGCCUAGUUUCCUCCUGUAUCAGGAUUGGGCACUGGGGCUCAUAUUUCUGAAGAUCUGGA